Molecule: transfer RNA, 71 nt
Filed under: Bacteriophage sp.
Description: tRNA-Gln
Rfam family: tRNA
About the family: Transfer RNA (tRNA) molecules are approximately 80 nucleotides in length. Their secondary structure includes four short double-helical elements and three loops (D, anti-codon, and T loops). Further hydrogen bonds mediate the characteristic L-shaped molecular structure. tRNAs have two regions of fundamental functional importance: the anti-codon, which is responsible for specific mRNA codon recognition, and the 3' end, to which the tRNAs corresponding amino acid is attached (by aminoacyl-tRNA synthetases). tRNAs cope with the degeneracy of the genetic code in two manners: having more than one tRNA (with a specific anti-codon) for a particular amino acid; and 'wobble' base-pairing, i.e. permitting non-standard base-pairing at the 3rd anti-codon position.
Source: RNAcentral
UGGGAUAUGGUGUAAUGGUAACACAGCGGGUUUUGGUCCCACUAUUCUUGGUUCGAGUCCGAGUAUCCCAA